This 406-nucleotide ribosomal RNA is filed under the name uncultured bacterium. RNAcentral's name for it is "partial 16S ribosomal RNA". It matches the Rfam family "Bacterial small subunit ribosomal RNA", at positions 29 to 526 of the family's 1533-position model. The record is from RNAcentral.
AUUGAACGCUGGCGGCAGGCCUAACACAUGCAAGUCGAGCGAGCGGCGCACGGGUGAGUAAUGUCUGUGAACCUGCCUGAUGGAGGGGGAUAACUACUGGAAACGGUAGCUAAUACCGCAUACCAUCAGAUGUGCCCAGAUGGGAUUAGCUCGUGGGUGGGGUAACGGCUCACCUGGGCGACGAUCCCUGGCUGGUCGGAGAGGAUAACCAGCAACAUUGGACAUGGGAAACGCUCCAGACGCCUACGGGGGGCAGCAGGGGGGAAUAUUGGAAAAUGGGGGAAAGCCUAAUGCAGCCAUGCCGCGUGUGUGAAGAAGGCCUUCGGGUUGUAAAGCACUUUCAGCGGGGAGGCGUUACCCGCAGAAGAAGCACCGGCUAACUCCGUGCCAGCAGCCGCGGUAAUUC